GGAGUUUACUUUGUGUUGCAAGCUUAAGACAGUGAAUGUACGAAGGCGGAGCGAAAGCGAGUCUGAAUAGGGACGUAUAAGUAGCACGGAGUAACCCGAAGCCAGGUGAUCUACCCAUGAGCAGGUUGAAAGUGGAGUAAUAUCUACCGGAGGACCGAACCCAUGAACGUUGAAAAGUUUUGGGAUGACUUGUGGAUAGGGGUGAAAGGCCAAUCAAACCUGGCAAUAGCUGGUUCUCCUCGAAAUAGCUUUUAGGGCUAGCGUCAUUUGUUUAGUUACAGGGGUAGAGCUACCGACAGGGCUAGGGGACCUACAAGUCUACCAACCCCCUAUCAAACUCCGAAUACUGUAACUUAAAAGAAUGGCAGUCAGACUACGGGAGAUAAGUUUCGUGGUCGAAAGGGAAACAGCCCAGACCGUCGUCUAAGGUCCCUAAAUUUGCACUAAGUGGCAAAGGAUGUGGGGGUGCAUAUACAACCAGGAGGUUGGCUUAGAAGCAGCCACCCUUUAAAGAGUGCGUAAUAGCUCACUGGUCGAGUGCCCUUGCGCCGAAAAUGUAACCGGGAA
This 567-nucleotide ribosomal RNA is filed under the name uncultured bacterium. RNAcentral's name for it is "bacterial LSU rRNA". It matches the Rfam family "Bacterial large subunit ribosomal RNA", at positions 628 to 1182 of the family's 2925-position model. The record is from RNAcentral.